CUCCUAAAGCUAAAUACCGGCCAGAGACCGAUAGCGCACAAGUAGAGUGAUCGAAAGAUGAAAAGUACUUUGGAAAGAGAGUCAAAUAGCACGUGAAAUUGUUGAAAGGGAAGCGCUUGCAGCCAGACUUGCCCGCAGUUGCUCACCCAGGCUCUCGCCUGGGGCACUCUUCUGCGGGCAGGCCAGCAUCAGUUUGGGCGGUCGGAUAAAGGCUCCUGUCAUGUACCACCCCUCGGGGUGGCCUUAUAGGGGGGGCGUAAUGCGACCAGCCCGGACUGAGGUCCGCGCAUCUGCUAGGAUGCUGGCGUAAUGGCUGUAAGCGGCCCGUCUUGAAACACGGACCAAGGAGUCUAACAUCUAUGCGAGUGUUUGGGUGUCAAGCCCGGGCGCGCAAUGAAAGUGAACGGAGGUGGGAACCUUUCGGGGUGCACCAUCGACCGAUCCUGAUGUCUUCGGAUGGAUUUGAGUAAGAGCAUAGCUGUUGGGACCCGAAAGAUGGUGAACUAUGCUUGAAUAGGGUGAAGCCAGAGGAAACUCUGGUGGAGGCUCGCAGCGGUUCUGACGUGCAAAUCGAUCGUCAAAUUUGGGCAUA
This 592-nucleotide ribosomal RNA is filed under the name Pseudopithomyces maydicus. RNAcentral describes it as "eukaryotic LSU rRNA". It matches the Rfam family "Eukaryotic large subunit ribosomal RNA", at positions 307 to 919 of the family's 3401-position model. Lineage: Eukaryota; Fungi; Ascomycota; Dothideomycetes; Pleosporales; Didymosphaeriaceae. The record is from RNAcentral.